CCCUUAGAUGUCCUGGGCCGCACGCGCGUUACACUGAUGCAUUCAACGAGCUUAUAACCUUGGCCGAGAGGCCUGGGCAAUCUUGUUAACGUGCAUCGUGAUAGGGAUAGAUUAUUGAAAUUAUUAAUCUUGAACGAGGAAUUCCUAGUAAACGCAGAUCAUCAAUCUGCAUUGAUUACGUCCCUGCCCUUUGUACACACCGCCCGUCGCACCUACCGAUUGGAUGGUCCGGUGAAGCCUCGGGAUUGUGGUUCUUGCCGCUCUAUUGUGGCGUGACCGCGAGAACUUGUCUAAACCUUAUCAUCUAGAGGAAGGUGAAGUCGUAACA
Molecule: ribosomal RNA, 328 nt
Filed under: uncultured eukaryote
Lineage: Eukaryota
Description: partial 18S ribosomal RNA
Rfam family: Eukaryotic small subunit ribosomal RNA
Source: RNAcentral